Molecule: ribosomal RNA, 253 nt
Filed under: uncultured bacterium
Lineage: Bacteria
Description: partial 16S ribosomal RNA
Rfam family: Bacterial small subunit ribosomal RNA
Source: RNAcentral
UACGUAGGGUGCAAGCGUUGUCCGGAAUCAUUGGGCGUAAAGAGCGUGUAGGCGGCUCGAUCAGUCCGCUGUAAAAGUCCAGGGCUCAACCCUGGAAUGCCGGUGGAAACUGUCAGGCUCGAGUCCGGAAGAGGCGAGUGGAAUUCCUGGUGUAGCGGUGAAAUGCGCAGAUAUCAGGAGGAACACCAAUGGCGAAGGCAGCUCGCUGGGACGGUACUGACGCUGAGACGCGAAAGCGUGGGGAGCAAACAGG